This 1009-nucleotide small RNA is filed under the name Arabidopsis thaliana (thale cress). RNAcentral's name for it is "ATSL092220". Lineage: Eukaryota; Viridiplantae; Streptophyta; Magnoliopsida; Brassicales; Brassicaceae. The record is from RNAcentral.
UUUUUAUAAAUAGGUGUCUGAGGGUUUUGUCCUGGGACAUCUAGUCGACAUUGAGUUUUUGCUUCAGUUUUAUUUUCUAUCUUACUCUGGCUGCGCUGCUUUUGCUUCUGUAACCUGUAAUUCGAGAUUUUUCCAAGUUAUUCAGAUUCCGUAUUUGAUUUUACCUGUCAUCUUGUUUCUCUACUCUUUAUCUCUUUACUUAUGCAAUAUACUUGUUUACAUGCGUUUAUGUCUUUGAGCAUGUUGUCUGAGUAGUGACAUAGAGUUCUUAAGGAUGGGAUAGAAUGGUUGUGGAAUCCUUAGUCUGUUCUAAUUGCCUGCAUAGUUAGAUUCCGUUAAUGGGAAUUAGUCUGGGCUAGCUUUGCUUGAGGAUUUCUAUCACGGGAGUGAAUUGAUCUGUUGUUUAACCUGUUGUCUAGGGAUAGCUUGAUUGCGCUUGUUAACCUUUCGAAUAGGCUAGGAUACCACUCUAUUCGAUUACCCCAUCCUUAGGAAUUUCUCGUCUAUCUGAUUUCUCUGUUUUAUUGUUAUCGCUUAAUCGUUCUCAUUGCCUGAUUUUUAGUUUUUGCAAUAAUUGGACCAACUUACUCGACCACACCCAGUGUCGGGCAACAGACUCUGCAUUCGAGUACAAUUGUCUCAUUUCCUGCCUGUUACUCGACCACAUCGUGCCUCUAGCAUCAGCUAGUUGUGGUCGAGUGAUUUUAGUAAUUCUGAUACUAUUUGUUUUUUCUGCAUGUUCGCUUACGGCUGUUAGAAACCUCAAAACCGUUAUUGCUUGGCUUGACUUAGUGACUUCUGAUCACAUCUCAUCUUUUUGCAUCACACAUAAUUGGAUUGACACCUAAAAUACUACAACGACAUGAUUGGUGUUUUAGGAUAAUUGACUAAAAACCUAAUAUCAGCAUGGGCGGUCACUAACACCAAGAAGAGCGUCGAAGGAACGUUGUGUAUGGGUGGGCUGAUAACACCCAUAUUACUGGCUUUGUGGAGUGCCUCUAGAGUUGGA